Hipposideros armiger (great roundleaf bat) is the source of this 2072-nucleotide long non-coding RNA. RefSeq lists it as uncharacterized. NCBI's taxonomy places the organism in Eukaryota, Metazoa, Chordata, Mammalia, Chiroptera, Hipposideridae. The record is from RefSeq and is a predicted model, not a curated record. The transcript is spliced from 3 exons.
GUCAUGCCUUCUUGUGUUGUGGUCAUCAUCAUGAAAAGAACAUGCCCCAGGGAGCCUGCUGAUCAAGGAAGAUGAGAGACACUGGAGCCUGGAGUGUAGCCCAGACUACAUUGGCUAAUUCCUAACCUCUCAACAAACAUAUUGGUGAGAUGUUAACCCUAUUUAAAGCUCUCCUGGAGACAUAUUAUAUAGCCCUCUGGUGGGCCAUUUCUGAGGUGUCAAGAGCUUGGGCACUGAACAUUUUACAAAAUUGAAGUGCACUCUGGGAGAUUUUCCCCCCGGAAGACUUCUCCAUAUAGUGGGAGGACUGGAAUGAAGCUGGCUAUAGCCUGGUGUGACCUCCUCCUCAUGGCAGGGGGCUACUCUCAGCUGCUAAAAGGAAAACCCACCAUCCUUUGUGAAUACUGUGGAAAGUUGGCCUUGACUUAUGUGAACUAAAUUUACAUGAGGUCUUCAGGAAAGCGUCUCUCCAAUAAAUACAACUGCCAUGUAGCAAAUUAUUUUGAAAAUAACCAGAAAAUCCUCAGGUGCCUUUGAAUUGUAUGUGGCCGUGGUAGACCUUGCCUACUUGGUAAUCUAAGUGACUUGCACGAAAGCAUGAGAUCUGGAUGGAGCUGGGAUUUGAAAAUAGAUUUUGUUUGGCCUCAAAUGUGUUAUUGAGAGAGGUGUAGUGUCUCUGACCUCCUCCCAUAAAAAUAAAAUUAAAUUAAAUUAAAUCAAAGAGUUAGAAUUUUGGAAUUCACCUAAUCCAGUGUUUGCCUUUUAGAGUUGAAUAAACUGAAAUCCAGAGAAGAACUGAAGGGCACAAGGCCAUGAUUGCUGUGAUUCCAUGGGCUUUACCAGUUUUCAGGGAAACUCCUGAAGGUGGACCCGAGCUCUGUUUCAAGCUGGUGCCCAGCCUCGCUAUGGGACAACCAGGAGGUCACUUGCCGUCCCUGGGAUCCAGUCUUGCCUCUCUUAGGGAAUCAGAUGAGCUGGAUUAGGUGUACUCUCAUAUUCCUUCAAGCUUGAAAGUUCUUUAACUCUGAUUAUAGUCUCUUCUCAUUGAGCUACUUCCCAUGUCUCUUGGGGAGGAAAUUGGGGUGUUGGAAGGGGGACAGGCCCCAUGAAGGAUAGGAUGGUGUAAGUGAACCAGAAAUGCAGAAGUGAUUAUUUUUGUAAAGGAAAUUUAAUACAACGCAAAUAAACACUUUUUUCUUUUCUCCUGUUUUUUUUUUUUAAAGAAAUAGCCAGUAUCAGAGUUCAAGAAAACUGACUAGUGAUGAAUGAAUUUUCAUUGUUUUUCAUUACAGAGAAUCACUCAAAGAUGCUCUUCCAUUUUCAUACCCACAGCACACAGAACACAUGCACUUGCACGUGCCUAUGCACAACAAUCAGCUGGUGUCAGUGAGCAGGACUCAGGCAGUGGCUUUGAUGGAAUUCCCUGGAGAAAUCGGUUCUGUGUGGUUCAUGGGCACAGACCUUGGAAAACUUUCUGAAAGGUCAUUGGCCAGCUUUGCAGACAUAUUAAUUUGUCUCCUAUUUACACUUUCUUCAUCUUGAACAGCACUCUUAUAUACGAUGAGGCAUAUGGCUUUCUCACAUCUUUCAAAUAUUCUUUCUGAAGUUGGGUCUAAUGUCUUUUAUGAGUGGCAGUGUAUCAUUUACUUACAGCCACAAAAACACUGCAUCACAAGCCAUUUCAACACUCUGUAGCUUAGAGUAACGCGGAUUUAUUGUCAUGGAUCUGCAGGUCAACUGUGGGUCUGUUCAUGUAGGCGGGGGUGACUUGGCUCUGCUCCUUCCAUCUCUCAGCCCCUCUUUCUCCUCCUCAGACCAGCAGGCUGGUCCUGCCAGGCGUGUUUUUUCCAUGGUGAUGGCAGAACAAGCCGGAUUAUGCAAGUCUUUUCCAAUGUUGUGCACACAUCACUGGGCUGACAUACCCCUAGCCAGAGCAAGUCAUGUGGCCAAACCCAGAAUCAGAAUGUAAGGAAGUGUAUUCCAUAGUUAGAUGGGGAAGAGUGUGAAAUUUGGGGACAAUAGUUAUUGUCAACAUACACUAUUAUAAUGUAUGCAUUGUGGUAGUUUUUUGU